This 67-nucleotide transfer RNA is filed under the name Salix viminalis (osier). It matches the Rfam family "tRNA". Rfam says of the family: Transfer RNA (tRNA) molecules are approximately 80 nucleotides in length. Their secondary structure includes four short double-helical elements and three loops (D, anti-codon, and T loops). Further hydrogen bonds mediate the characteristic L-shaped molecular structure. tRNAs have two regions of fundamental functional importance: the anti-codon, which is responsible for specific mRNA codon recognition, and the 3' end, to which the tRNAs corresponding amino acid is attached (by aminoacyl-tRNA synthetases). tRNAs cope with the degeneracy of the genetic code in two manners: having more than one tRNA (with a specific anti-codon) for a particular amino acid; and 'wobble' base-pairing, i.e. permitting non-standard base-pairing at the 3rd anti-codon position. The record is from RNAcentral. Lineage: Eukaryota; Viridiplantae; Streptophyta; Magnoliopsida; Malpighiales; Salicaceae.
GUCGUUUGGCCGAGUGGUUAAGGCGUGCGGCUUCCCCGCAGCGAGAGUUUGAAUCUCUCAGGCUACA